This is a long non-coding RNA of Cygnus atratus (black swan), 769 nucleotides long. RefSeq lists it as uncharacterized. NCBI's taxonomy places the organism in Eukaryota, Metazoa, Chordata, Aves, Anseriformes, Anatidae. The transcript is spliced from 3 exons. The record is from RefSeq and is a predicted model, not a curated record.
UGGAAUUUCACUUGAUGGAGUCCUGCACAUCAGAUACUCUUCUAUCUGGGGCUGCCAGUAGUGCAGCAGAAAUGCCCAAAUGGUAUUAGGUAGAAAACUGACAGCAGCCUGCAUUUCUGGAACCGGACAACAUGAAUCAGACCUAGCGCAAGGGAACAGUCAAGCAUUCAUAAACAGGCAUUGAAGAUUUUCAGAGCCCACAAUUUGUCAUCCCGAAAUAUUCCAGAGAAAAUCACUGCAGAAUUUUGCAUUCUUUAUGGCUUUCUUUUUUAAAAAAGAACAGUAACUGUUAGAAUUUACUUCUGCAUAUUCAAAAAUGCUUUUGAAAAUAUGUUUGUGCAAAGAGGGAAGUAACUGCAGAGAUUAAUUCCAGACACCUCAGUUUCAACGGAAAUCGAAAAAUGAUUGAGGGAAGGUUAAGUGGUAAUGGGGUGAACAUUCUUGAGAAACGUUGCAAAAUUACGCUGAACCAUCACAUUGAACACGCAGGGCCUAAUCUGAAACCUGCUGAGGUCAAUUAAAAUCUUGAUAUUAAUUUUCUCAGGUUUCAGAUUAACCUCAUCUUUAUUUUGUAGAAUUAUAUUAUGAUGGAUUUUUUUUUUUUUUUGUCCUCAGGCUUGCAUGCUUCUGUCUUCACACUUCUUGUAAGUCUCCCAGUAAUGCUAGUUUUAAUUUGGUGUUCAAGGUCUGUUCCUCCCUGUGAGAAAUACAUUUAUAAUACAAAUAGAAGCUGGAAAAUAGUUACCUGAAUGUGGUGUUCUUAUAUCCA